Molecule: ribosomal RNA, 253 nt
Filed under: uncultured bacterium
Lineage: Bacteria
Description: partial 16S ribosomal RNA
Rfam family: Bacterial small subunit ribosomal RNA
Source: RNAcentral
GACGGAGGGUGCUAGCGUUGUUCGGAAUUACUGGGCGUAACGGGCGCGUAGGCGGCCUUCUCAGUCGGGUGUGAAAGCCCGGGGCUCAACCCCGGAACGGCACCCGAGACGGGUUGGCUGGAGACCGGGAGAGGAGGGUGGAAUAGCCAGUGUAGAGGUGAAAUUCGUAGAUAUUGGCUGGAACACCGGUGGCGAAAGCGGCUCUCUGGCCCGGUUCUGACGCUGAGGCGCGAAAGCGUGGGGAGCAAACAGG